RNAcentral lists this ribosomal RNA (556 nucleotides) under Escherichia coli. RNAcentral describes it as "bacterial SSU rRNA". It matches the Rfam family "Bacterial small subunit ribosomal RNA", at positions 976 to 1532 of the family's 1533-position model. The record is from RNAcentral. Lineage: Bacteria; Pseudomonadati; Pseudomonadota; Gammaproteobacteria; Enterobacterales; Enterobacteriaceae.
UGGUCUUGACAUCCACGGAAGUUUUCAGAGAUGAGAAUGUGCCUUCGGGAACCGUGAGACAGGUGCUGCAUGGCUGUCGUCAGCUCGUGUUGUGAAAUGUUGGGUUAAGUCCCGCAACGAGCGCAACCCUUAUCCUUUGUUGCCAGCGGUCCGGCCGGGAACUCAAAGGAGACUGCCAGUGAUAAACUGGAGGAAGGUGGGGAUGACGUCAAGUCAUCAUGGCCCUUACGACCAGGGCUACACACGUGCUACAAUGGCGCAUACAAAGAGAAGCGACCUCGCGAGAGCAAGCGGACCUCAUAAAGUGCGUCGUAGUCCGGAUUGGAGUCUGCAACUCGACUCCAUGAAGUCGGAAUCGCUAGUAAUCGUGGAUCAGAAUGCCACGGUGAAUACGUUCCCGGGCCUUGUACACACCGCCCGUCACACCAUGGGAGUGGGUUGCAAAAGAAGUAGGUAGCUUAACCUUCGGGAGGGCGCUUACCACUUUGUGAUUCAUGACUGGGGUGAAGUCGUAACAAGGUAACCGUAGGGGAACCUGCGGUUGGAUCACCUCCUU